AGAAGGGGGAGGGGGGAAGGCGAAGGCCGCCUAGAAGAAUCACGUGUCUACUGCUUCCGCCGGCGCUCGAAAGACCUCGCGAGAAUUCCGUUCCACCUCCCUUUCUGCCCCGCGGGCUGUCGGGAGGAAGGUCUGUGCUCUGCCUUGCCACGAGGAGGUCAGCUUGUGGCCCGGGCGCAUGCGUCCCACACCUGCUUUCAAAGUCGGGCUAGGAGGGGCCCGGAGCUAUUUUCAAAAUGUUUUUGGUGUGUGUGGCUUCGGUCCAGGAAGUUACCUAGUGGCGUCUCUGUCACUUUGGAAAGCUCUUCAUUACCCAGUCAGCCGUAGAAAGAAAAAUAUUCGCGGAUUCACUGCUUGUAAUAGGGACGCCUGGGUGAUUCUUGCCCCCUACUGGCGGCGUGUCCCACUGGCCUUGUGCUGAGAGAAAUCCAAGUCUCCAAACAUUUGGAGGUUAAAGUGUGAACUUUUCAGAAGAAAGUAGAGGCAGAGGGAAGAAGAAAGAAAAUAAAAGUCAUGGCAAGAUGAUUACAAAUCAUUCAACUCGAACUCAGCGUUUGUAUGUACUACAGGAAACUCGGAAGCCUGCUGUGCAGAUAACUGCUGUGGUUGGAUGUGCAUUCUAGAAGAAUCACUCAGGAAGCAACGUACCAGAUGGAUCCUAAGAACUGGACUGCAGGUAUGAGGAGUAGACAGAAGAACAGAAACUGAAAUGGAGUAAAAUUGUUGAACAAUAGAAGAAGACCAGGUUCAAGAAAUACUAGGAGGUAAAGCCAAUAACACACAGUGACUGGUUGGAUAGGGUUUAUAAGGAGAGAAGAGUCUAGAAUGAAGCCUCAGUUUCUCACUUUUGUACCUAGGUAGAUAACAAUGCCAUAGCUGAAACUGUGACCUCAGGAAGACAAACAGAUGUGGAGAGGAAGACAGUAAUAUGGAAAGUUUUGCGUAUCUAUUUUUACGUAAUAAAGAACCCCUAAACCUAACAACUUAAUGAAACAACCAUUUUAUUACUUCUUAUGAUUCUUCAAGCUGGGCUGAGCUUAGCUGGACAGUUCUGCUGGGCUUGCUAAUAGUCACUUGUGUAACUAUAACUAGGUGGGCUCAGCUAGGAUUCUUAGACAGCUGUUAUUGCUCUGUUUGCAUGUAGUCUCUCUAGUUGCCUUAUAGUUCUUACAUGGUGGCUCUGGGCUCCCAAGAACACAAAAGCAGAAGCUUCUAGACUCUUGAAUUUUAGCCUUGCAACUGACACAGUGAUGUUUCCACCGCAUUCUAUCAAUUAAGGAGGCCACACAAGACUCAAGGAAAGACAACACAAGAGUAUGAAUGGAGGGGGGCACCUGCCUGGCUCAGUUGGUAGAGCAUACAACUCUUGACGCUGGUGUGAGUUCAAUGCCCAUGUU
Molecule: long non-coding RNA, 1397 nt
Organism: Canis lupus familiaris (dog)
Lineage: Eukaryota; Metazoa; Chordata; Mammalia; Carnivora; Canidae
Exons: 3
Source: RefSeq, a predicted model, not a curated record